Non-coding RNA from Camellia sinensis, 1369 nucleotides. Lineage: Eukaryota; Viridiplantae; Streptophyta; Magnoliopsida; Ericales; Theaceae. The record is from RefSeq and is a predicted model, not a curated record.
CAAAAAAAAAACAAGAGUAAAAACUCGCUGGAAAGAGAGACAGAGAGAGAUGUGUUCGAGAGAGAAAGAGCGAAGACAAAGAAAAGAACAUGAAGAGAAGAUGAAGGGAAGAGUAUUCAUUCGGAGCGACAGCUUUGCUUGCGACUACCAUUGCUCCGUCCGAUUGAUGAAGACCCACGAACGUAGCAGACGAAGCCAUCUCACCUCUCCCUCCGGCCGGAGCUCUCGUACCUCUUCCUCGCACCACCCAAUUUCAGGUCCCUCUCUGUUGGUCUUUCUCCCUCUCUGUCGAUCUCAGUCUCUCUUUGUCGAUCUCGGCUGCAAAUCACAGGUUUCUCUCUCUCUUGGUCUUUCGCCCUCUCUGCCGAUCUCGGCCACAAAUCACAGGCUUUUCUCUCUUUCUCUCUAGGGAGUGGCUGAUCGAGUCUUAGUCUCUUGCCUACUAGUAAGGGUAGUUUGGUUACUAUUGCAAGGGCAUUGAGCAUCUUUCACACAUGGAAGCAUUGUGGCGGAGCUCUGAUGCGAAAAUUGAUAAAGCACAACCAGCCAUUGAAAUCAGGGUAUAUGGAUGCUUUUACUGAGUCUAGGGAGAAAGCUAUGGUUGUCAACUUAGACUUUAUAAAGGCUAUAGUUACAACUGAAGAAGUGUUGUUGCUUGAUCCUCUCUGCUAGGAGGUUCUUCCGUUUGUGGAUCAGCUACGGCAACAGCUUCCUCAUAAAAGCGUGUCUAAAAGUCAAUGAGGGGGUCAAAUGGAUGUACAAGAUAAUGAAAUGCAAUUAUCAUCCGGGGGACAAUGGUUACCUGUUCUUGAAGCCGUUAAAGGUUUGCAGUGUGACCUCCCAUUUGAGUUUCAAGUUCUCGAGAUUGCAUUGAAGGUUGUUUGUACAUAUUUGGACUCUAGUGUAGCAGACCUGGAGAGAAAUGCUUAUUCUGUAUUGGAUGAACUAGUGAGGAAUGUUAGCACCAAGAAUCUUGAGCGCGUGAGGAGUUUGAAAAGAAAUCUAACUAGUUUACUUGCACGGGUACAAAAGGCAUACAUUAUUGAUUUCUUUUUUCUACUAGUUACAACAGAUUACUUCAUGGUGUUGGUGCACUUGCUAGUUAUUUAUUUAUUUUUGUUUUAUCAACUUUGAUGUGGAAAACUUAUACAUGAGAAAAGAGGAAAGCCCAUGUAUCCCCAGUAGUCUAUUUUAAAUUGUGUAUCUUCUUUGCAUGAAGUGUAAAAUCAUGUUGGAGUGUAGAUGUCAGUCGUCGGCUAAAUUGGCGGCAAUUGGGUCUUGUUGCAUUCAUUAUUCCUCUUUUGUUUAUCUGCAUGUAAAGAAUUUAUGGAUGUGUUUGCUGCAUCCUUCUAGUGGCUAUUUGGUAAGA